RNAcentral lists this transfer RNA (70 nucleotides) under Neotoma lepida (desert woodrat). It matches the Rfam family "tRNA". Rfam says of the family: Transfer RNA (tRNA) molecules are approximately 80 nucleotides in length. Their secondary structure includes four short double-helical elements and three loops (D, anti-codon, and T loops). Lineage: Eukaryota; Metazoa; Chordata; Mammalia; Rodentia; Cricetidae. The record is from Rfam by way of RNAcentral.
GGAGACAUAGCUCAGUUGGUAGAGUGUUUGCCUGUUAUGCAGGGAUCUGUGGGUUCAAUCCCCAGCACCA